This 3453-nucleotide long non-coding RNA is filed under the name Mytilus galloprovincialis (Mediterranean mussel). The record is from RNAcentral. Lineage: Eukaryota; Metazoa; Mollusca; Bivalvia; Mytilida; Mytilidae.
UAGGGUAAAUUGAAACACGGAAAAAGAAACAAAGAAGAUCUUGGACCCUAUAUUAAACACAUGAGACGGAAACAUGAUUGAUUGAUCAUGAUCAUGAUUGAUUGAUUGAUUGAUUGAUUGAUUGAUUGAUUGAUUAGUUGGUUGGUUGGUUGGUUGGUUGGUUAAACACAUUGGAUAGGGUCAAUUGAAACACGGAAAAAGACACAAAGAAGAUCUUGGACCCUAUAUUAAACACAUGAGACGGAAACAUGAUUGGUUGAUCAUGAUCAUGAUUGAUUGAUUGAUUGGUUGGUUGGUUUGUUGGUUGGUUGGUUGGUUGGUUGGUUGGACCCUAUAAGAAACACAUGAGACGGAAACAUGAUUGAUUGAUUGAUCAUGAUCAUGAUAUUUUGAUUGAUUGAUUUGAUUGAUUGAUUGAUUGAUUGAUUGAUUGGUUGGUGUUGGUGUUGGUUGGUUGGUUGAAAUUCAAACACACAUAAAACUGUUUAAAUAGUGCCAAAACCACAUAAUUUGAUGACCUUGACCUUUGACCUUGUAACCUUCGUCAAGGUCAUUGCUCCACAAGGUAUUGCAAAAGACCCUAUGGGUCAAGGACCUUUUGUUUAAGAGUUUUGCCUAAAAAUGGCUUUUUAAAAACCAUCGAUGGGAGUUAUGUCCCUUACAUGAUGGUAAAAUCAAUAUAGUCAUAAUGUAAAAAAGUUGCCCCUUGAAGUACUUAAGCAUUUUUCACUGCUUAAUUUUUUGUAUCUAUAACCAUUCAAGAAUUAUAGGGAAAUCAAAGACAUAUGAAAAUCUAAAAUAUGACCUUGACCUUUGACCUUGACCUAAUUUUCUAAGUUAGGAAUCAGGGGACUCAAAUAAAACAUUCUAGGGUUAUACGGUUAACGGUUUAUGAGUUAAAAAAACAUACGACAAAUUUAUUCCGUAAAAGAUAGAUAACUCCUAUAAAAUUUCUUUCGAAUCGCUUCGAUCCAAAUUAGCCAAAAUUUCUGAGGAUGUAACGAACAAUUUUGUAAAAGAAUUUUGUCGCUAUCUUUUUUUUUACGAAGGAGAUGCACACACAUUGAAAACAGUGAUAGGGAGAUAACUCUUACAGAAAAUUGUUUAGCAGGGUAAAUUUAAAAGCGCAUAAACUAUACGAUACAUAUACAAAAUAUCUAAGCGACAUAUUGCGAAACAAAUGUUUAUCGCAAGAACAAAAUUGGCGGAAAAAAAAAAAAAAUAAUAAAAUAAAAACAAAUACAUAAGUCUUUCCACAGAAAAGUGGAAAGUGACCUUGACCUUUGACCUUGUAACCUUCGUCAAGGUCAUUGCUCCACAAGGUCAUUGCAAAAGACCCUAUGGGUCAAGGACCUUUUGUUUAAGAGUUUUGCCUAAAUAUGGCUUUUUAAAAACCAUCGAUGGGAGUUAUGUCCCUUACAUGAUGGUAAAAUCAAUAUAGUCAUAAAUGUAAAAAAGUUGCUGCCCUUGAAGUACUUACAUUUUUCACUGCUUAAAUUUUCUGUAUCUAUAACCAUUCAAGAAUUAUAGGGAAUCAAAGACAUAUGAAAAUCUAAAAUAUGACCUUGACCUUUGACCUUGACCUAAUUUUCUAAGUUAGGAAUCAGGGGACUCAAAUAAAAACUUCUAGGGUUAUACGGUUAACGUUUAUGAGUUAAAAAAAACAUACGACAAAUUAUUCCGUAAAGAUAGAUAACUCCUAUAAAAUUUCAUCAGAUCGCUUCGAUCCAAAUUAGCCAAAAUUUUCUGAGGAUGUAACGAACAAAUUUGUAAAAAGAAUUUUGUCGCUAUCUUUUUUUGUUACGAAGGAGAUGCACACACAUGAUAAACAGUGAAUAGGGAGAUACUCUUACAGAGAAAAUUGUUCGUCUUAGCAGGGUGAAAUUUAAAAGCGCAUAAACUAUACGAUACAAUAUGAGAAAUAUCUAAGCGACAUAUUGCCGAAACAAACAUUUAUCGCAAGAACAAAAGUUGGCGGAAAAAAAAAAAAAAUAAUAAUAAUAAUAAUAAUCAGACAAAUACAAUAAGUCUUCUCACAGAAAAGUGGAAGACUUAAUAAUAAUAAAUAUAAAGCAAUUGUUUUGAAAACAAUUGUUAGGCAGUCUUUCCCCUCUGAGAAUGGAUAAUUUGAUUUUUUUUUUAUGAUUGAUUUGGAAAAAAGGGGGGGGGGGUAUUUGUUUUUUUUUGUUUGUUUGUUUGCUUUGGUAUGGGGUCUAUAUUAUUAUUUUACCGGAGAAGUGUCAUGUUUAGUUUGGAAAGUUUUUCUUUUAUUUAGAUACAGCGCGCGCGCAAGAUUGAGGGAGAUCACGUGACGCGGGUUUAUAUAUAAGAAAAACUUAGUCUUUUUAUUUCUCUUUAGGUCGGGACGUUAAACAGACAACAUCUAUAGAGAUGGAAUGUACACAAUGUAAUUUCUUUUGUCAUUGUAGGAAAUUGACAUUUUCAUCACAGUUCACGGGCGUGCAUGUUUUGGAUUUAAUUUGAUCCGGUGUAACUUAAAACACAUUUAUUGAUUAUUUUCUGAUAAUGUACAUUUUUCAGCACCGUGUUUGUAACACAGAUUAAUAUUUCAAUCUCGGAGCGACAUUUAUUGUAGGUUUUUACUGAGAUUUUCGGACCUAGCAAGCGAUUUUUACAGCAUUGCAUUUCUUUUCCCUAGGAAAAGUCUUGAGAGAUAUCGCACCACGUUGUUUUAUGAACCUUUAGUACAUGUAUGCCCUGCUGACUGCAAAUUUUGAGGUCGAUUGUACUUGUAGUUUCAGAGAACAUGUGGAUUUUUUUUUCAGAAGUGACGUAAGAACAAUAUUAAAUUUCAAUUUUUCUUGAAUAAAUGAGAGUUUGCUCCUUCAAUAAACUCAUGGAUAAACAGUCAUACAGAUUGAUUGAUGAUUGAUUGAUUGAUUGAUUAGUUUGGUUGGUUGGUUGGUUGGUUAAACACGUUGGAUAGGGUCAAUUGAAACACGGAAAAAGACACAAAGAAGAUCUUGGACCCUAUAUUAAACACAUGAGACGGAACAUGAUUGGUUGAUCAUGAUCAUGAUUGAUUGAUUGAUUGAUUGAUUGAUUGAUUGAUUGGUUGGUUGGUUGGUUGGUUGGUUGGUUGGUUAAACACGUUGGAUAGGGUCAAUUGAAACAGCGAAAAAGAAACAAAGAAGAUCUUGGACCCUACAUUAAACACAUGAGACGGAAAGAUGAUUGAUUGAUCAUGAUCAUGAUUGUGAUUGAUUGAUGAUUGAUUGAUUGAUUGAUUGAUUAGUGUGUUGGUUGGUUGGUUGGUUGGUUAAACACGUUGGUUAGGGUCAAUUGAAACAGCGAAAAAGAAACGAAGAAGAUCUUGAACCCUAUAAUAAACACAUGAGACGGAAACAUGAUUGAUUGAUUGAUCAUGAUCAUUAUUGGUUGAUUGAUCAUGAUCAUGAUUGAUUGAUUGGUUGGUUGGUUGGUUGGUUGGUU